GUAUUAGUAGUUCAGUGGUAAAUUCUCACCUUCCAUGUGAGAGACCUGGGUUCAAUUCCUGGCCAAUGCA
Molecule: transfer RNA, 70 nt
Filed under: Loxodonta africana (African savanna elephant)
Lineage: Eukaryota; Metazoa; Chordata; Mammalia; Proboscidea; Elephantidae
Rfam family: tRNA
About the family: Transfer RNA (tRNA) molecules are approximately 80 nucleotides in length. Their secondary structure includes four short double-helical elements and three loops (D, anti-codon, and T loops). Further hydrogen bonds mediate the characteristic L-shaped molecular structure. tRNAs have two regions of fundamental functional importance: the anti-codon, which is responsible for specific mRNA codon recognition, and the 3' end, to which the tRNAs corresponding amino acid is attached (by aminoacyl-tRNA synthetases). tRNAs cope with the degeneracy of the genetic code in two manners: having more than one tRNA (with a specific anti-codon) for a particular amino acid; and 'wobble' base-pairing, i.e. permitting non-standard base-pairing at the 3rd anti-codon position.
Source: Rfam by way of RNAcentral